Molecule: long non-coding RNA, 1032 nt
Filed under: Pogona vitticeps (central bearded dragon)
Lineage: Eukaryota; Metazoa; Chordata; Lepidosauria; Squamata; Agamidae
Description: lncRNA (ENSPVIG00000007591.1)
Source: RNAcentral
AUGACGGGCCAGCCUAUCAGGCUCUACCCCCUUUUGUGCAGUUUAAUUUCUGCGAGCAUUCCGCAUAUGGGAGAGAAAAUGGGAGUGUCCGGUUGGCGAAAUCGCGCCAAUUCCAAAUGGGGCCACCACCAGCACCAGCGGCCAAGCCCUCCCGUCCGAAACGGACCUUCCCUAACCAGGAGGUGGAGGAGCAGAGGCCCGCUGGAUCGGCCCUUUGCAACGUCCCGGAGGAAGCCAUGCCAAGGGCCUCUCCGAAAACCAGACAGGCCCCAUCUCCUGAGCAGAACAGGCUGGUGGGCUCGACCUCCGCUUCUUGGAAACCCCGUGAGCCCAAAAGGGGAAGUUGUCCAGAAGGAGGCCUCCAUGCUGCGCAGCAGGAGUCAAGAGGAGGGUUUGUCUCUAGAAUAUCACGGGACGACAUCUCCCUCGAGGGCCGACCUCCUCAUCAGGAGCACCUCUUCUUCCUCCUGUUCCUCCUUUUGUACACCUCCUCAGCAGAAGAGGCUGGCGGGCUCCACCUGCACGCCAGAAGACUUUGACCCUUUCGCCCUGAACAACAUGUACGAGGAGACGAGAGGGCACCUUGAAGGUCACGUCAAAAAGAAAAAGGCCCAGGGUCUGCGUGGGAUGCCUUUUGUGGUCAUAAGGUCGCUCAGGCUCUUCCACGCCCUGCAGGACUAUCGCCUGGAAAGAGGCCCACAAAAGCCAACCCCCAAAUUACAACUGAGGCCCGUCCAGGCGGCGGCUCGAAACCCCCUCGAUGCUCCUCCGUCCAGCCCUGCCAAACCUUUACAGAGACUGCCAGGAACCAAAGCCUUUUCUAUUCUUCACGUGGUGGCAUCGGGGGGGGGGGACCAAGAACUUUGCUUUGUCUCCCCCUGGGGUGCAGCUGGGCAGGAACCGGGCAGCUUUCCAUGGACCCAUGAAGAGAAGUACGUUCUCCUCUCCGUGGAUCCGGACCAACGCCGGCAGCUCCUUUUCCACCUCCAGGUGAUACUUUGUGGGAGGAACCUUAGGCUCAGUCCACACUAG